AACGAACGCUGGCGGCAGGCUUAACACAUGCAAGUCGAACGCCCCGCAAGGGGAGUGGCAGACGGGUGAGUAACGCGUGGGAAUCUACCCAUCUCUACGGAAUAACUCAGGGAAACUUGUGCUAAUACCGUAUACGCCCUUCGGGGAAGAUUUAUCGGAGAUGGAUGAGCCCGCGUUGGAUUAGCUAGUUGGUGGGGUAA
Molecule: ribosomal RNA, 200 nt
Filed under: uncultured bacterium
Lineage: Bacteria
Description: partial 16S ribosomal RNA
Rfam family: Bacterial small subunit ribosomal RNA
Source: RNAcentral